UAUAAUGGAAUUCCAAAGCAGGGGGCACUCCUAUGCCAUUCCAGAGAACGAAGAAAUCUCGCACACCCAUCAGAACGUGCACAACGAUCACGAAAAUGAAGGCGAGAGAGCAGUGUCAAAAUUGCAACGCAGGCACAGUGACGUAAAAGUGUACAAAGAAAUAUGUGACUUUUAUGCAAGAUUCAACAUGGCCAAUGCUCUGGCCAAUGCCAUGUGUGAGCGCUGCCGGGGAGGUUUCGCACCUGCCGAGAAGAUUGUGAACAGCAAUGGCGAGCUGUAUCACGAACAGUGUUUCGUGUGUGCCCAGUGCUUCCAGCAGUUCCCCGAAGGGCUUUUUUAUGAGUUUGAAGGAAGGAAAUAUUGCGAACAUGACUUUCAGAUGCUUUUUGCUCCUUGCUGCCAUCAGUGUGGGGAGUUCAUUAUUGGUCGUGUUAUUAAAGCUAUGAACAACAGUUGGCAUCCAGAAUGUUUCUGCUGUGAUAUCUGCCAACAGGUAUUGGCAGACAUUGGAUUUGUGAAGAAUGCUGGCAGACACCUUUGCCGUCCUUGCCACAAUCGGGAGAAAGCCAGGGGCAUGGGCAAAUACAUUUGCCAAAAGUGCCAUGCUAUCAUCGAAGAACAACCCCUCAUCUUCAAGAAUGACCCUUACCAUCCCGAUCACUUCAACUGUGCCAAUUGCGGAAAGGAACUUACUGCUGACGCCCGAGAACUGAAGGGGGAGUUGUACUGCUUGCCUUGCCAUGACAAAAUGGGCGUCCCCAUCUGUGGAGCAUGCAGGAGGCCAAUUGAAGGACGAGUGGUGAACGCUAUGGGCAAACAGUGGCACGUGGAGCAUUUUGUUUGUGCGAAGUGUGAGAAGCCAUUCCUAGGCCACCGUCACUAUGAGAGGAAGGGGCUGGCGUAUUGUGAGACCCAUUACAACCAGCUCUUUGGUGAUGUUUGCUUCCACUGUAAUCGUGUGAUUGAAGGAGAUGUUGUGUCGGCAUUGAACAAGGCAUGGUGCGUGAACUGCUUCGCGUGCUCUACUUGCAACACUAAGUUAACACUCAAGGACAAGUUUGUUGAAAUCGAUCUCAAACCUGUCUGCAAGCACUGUUACGAGAAAAUGCCGGAAGAAUUUAAGAGGAGGCUCGCCAAACGGGAGCGAGAAGCAAAGGAUAAAGACAAACACAAAAAGAAAAAGCCUGUCUGCCUGUAAACAUGCUUUGUUCCUACCUCCCAGCAACUACGCUCCUUCCUUCCUUCCUUUCGAAACAAGUUUGUGGAAUUUGAUAUGAAGCCUGUCUGCAAGAAGUGCUAUGAGAAGUUCCCACUGGAGCUCAAGAAGCGACUGAAGAAAUUGGCUGAGACGUUGGGAAGAAAGUGAGGUCCUCCUCUCCAGAUCUCAUCUUGCUGUGCAAAGUUUAGGAAGUGAUAUUACAGACUUAUUUUUGUUGAGUCUAUGAAACCUAAGUGCAAAAAA
This is an RNA transcript of Lacerta agilis (Sand lizard), 1462 nucleotides long. It is a transcript of the gene named LIM zinc finger domain containing 1, with no coding region annotated. The transcript is spliced from 11 exons. The record is from RefSeq and is a predicted model, not a curated record. Lineage: Eukaryota; Metazoa; Chordata; Lepidosauria; Squamata; Lacertidae.